RNAcentral lists this ribosomal RNA (442 nucleotides) under uncultured marine group I thaumarchaeote. RNAcentral's name for it is "bacterial SSU rRNA". It matches the Rfam family "Archaeal small subunit ribosomal RNA", at positions 455 to 897 of the family's 1478-position model. The record is from RNAcentral. Lineage: Archaea; Thermoproteati; Nitrososphaerota.
GUGCCAGCCGCCGCGGUAAAACCAGCACCUCAAGUGGUCAGGAUGAUUAUUGGGCCUAAAGCAUCCGUAGCCGGCUCUGUAAGUUUUCGGUUAAAUCUAUGCGCUCAACGUAUGGGCUGCCGAAAAUACUGUAGAGAUAGGGAGUGGGAGAGGUAGACGGUACUCGGUAGGAAGGGGUAAAAUCCUUUGAUCUAUCGAUGACCACCUGUGGCGAAGGCGGUCUACCAGAACACGUUCGACGGUGAGGGAUGAAAGCUGGGGGAGCAAACCGGAUUAGAUACCCGGGUAGUCCCAGCUGUAAACGAUGCAGACUCGAUGAUGCAUUGGUAUAUAGCCAGUGCAGUGUCGCAGGGAAGCCGUUAAGUCUGCCGCCUGGGAAGUACGUACGCAAGUAUGAAACCUAAAGGAAUUGGCGGGGGAGCACCACAAGGGGUGAAGCCUG